AUUGAACGCUGGCGGCAGGCCUAACACAUGCAAGUCGAACGGUAGCACAGAGAGCUUGCUCUCGGGUGACGAGUGGCGGACGGGUGAGUAAUGUCUGGGAAACUGCCUGAUGGAGGGGGAUAACUACUGGAAACGGUAGCUAAUACCGCAUAACGUCGCAAGACCAAAGAGGGGGACCUUCGGGCCUCUUGCCAUCAGAUGUGCCCAGAUGGGAUUAGCUUGUAGGCGGGGUAAUGGCCCACCUAGGCGACGAUCCCUAGCUGGUCUGAGAGGAUGACCAGCCACACUGGAACUGAGACACGGUCCAGACUCCUACGGGAGGCAGCAGUGGGGAAUAUUGCACAAUGGGCGCAAGCCUGAUGCAGCCAUGCCGCGUGUGUGAAGAAGGCCUUCGGGUUGUAAAGCACUUUCAGCGGGGAGGAAGGCGGUACGGUUAAUAACCGUGCCGAUUGACGUUACCCGCAGAAGAAGGACCGGCUAACUCCGUGCCAGCCGCCGCGGUAA
Molecule: ribosomal RNA, 504 nt
Filed under: uncultured bacterium
Lineage: Bacteria
Description: partial 16S ribosomal RNA
Rfam family: Bacterial small subunit ribosomal RNA
Source: RNAcentral